This 468-nucleotide ribosomal RNA is filed under the name uncultured bacterium. RNAcentral's name for it is "partial 16S ribosomal RNA". It matches the Rfam family "Bacterial small subunit ribosomal RNA", at positions 28 to 507 of the family's 1533-position model. The record is from RNAcentral.
GACGAACGCUGGCGGCGUGCUUAACACAUGCAAGUCGAACGGACAGGCCCUGCUCUUGUGGGGUUCUCGAGUGGCGAACGGGUGAGUAACACGUGAGUAACCUCCCCUUGACUUUGGGAUAACUCCUGGAAACUGGGGCUCUUACCGGAUAGAAUCUCCUGCACCAUGUUGGUGGUUGGAAAGUUUCGGCGGUGGGGGAUGGACUCGCGGCUUAUCCGCUUGUUAGGGGGGUUGUGGCUGACCAGGGCUUUGACGGGUAGCCUGCCUGAGAGGGUUACCGGCCACAAUGGGACUAAGAUACGGACCAGAAGCCUACGGGAGGCAGUAGGCGGGAAUAUUGCAGAACGGGGGGAAGCCUGAUACAGCAACGCCGCGUUCGGGAUACCGGCCUUCGGGUUGUAAACCGCUUUCGCCUGUAACGAAGCGUGAGUGACGGUAAUGGGUAAAGAAGCACCGGCUAACUACGUG